RNAcentral lists this unclassified non-coding RNA (329 nucleotides) under soil metagenome. RNAcentral describes it as "partial contains 5.8S ribosomal RNA, internal transcribed spacer 2, and large subunit ribosomal RNA". The stretch from base 1 to 120 matches the Rfam family "5.8S ribosomal RNA", at positions 35 to 154 of the family's 154-position model. The record is from RNAcentral.
GAUGAAGAACGCAGCGAAAUGCGAUACGUAAUGUGAAUUGCAGAAUUCAGUGAAUCAUCGAGUCUUUGAACGCACAUUGCGCCCUCUGGUAUUCCGGAGGGCAUGCCUGUCCGAGCGUCAUUACAACCCUCAAGCUCAGCUUGGUGUUGGGCCCCGCCGCCCCGGCGGGCCCUAAAGUCAGUGGCGGUGCCGUCCGGCUCCGAGCGUAGUAAUUCUUCUCGCUCUGGAGGUCCGGUCGUGUGCUCGCCAGCAACCCCCAAUUUUUUUCAGGUUGACCUCGGAUCAGGUAGGGAUACCCGCUGAACUUAAGCAUAUCAAUAAGCGGAGGA